UCCAACUUAUAAUAAGAAUACCAUGUUUUAGUCAAAAUAAUAACUAUGCCCUCGUACAAUCUGAAGGGUUUCCUUUCUUCUUUGAAGCUAUUUUCUUCAUUUUGAAAGAAAUUGUGCUUAUCCUUUGUUCAUAAACAAAGGCAGAGUGUUUCUUUUUCUGUUCAAGUCAUCGUAUAUGGAUCAUAUUAUGCUUUAGGCUCUAUCAUGCAGGAAAUUUCUCCCUCUCUUUACAGGCAUGAUAGGCUGAAUUAUGUUCUGAACUAAGACAGAGAAACAAGAAUUGCCGCAUAAUCUUAUCGUAGGGGAUGACUAAUAUGGACCACCAUAAUAAGCGACUUGUGAUAGACAUCGUGUUUUUCUGUCAAUCUUGACAAUUAGAUUGCAUAGGGUCGUAGGAUCUUAUCAUAGUUUCUCUACAAUUGAUUGCAUUACCAUCUCGUCUCCCUCAGGUCCUG
This 455-nucleotide long non-coding RNA is filed under the name Trifolium pratense (red clover). RNAcentral describes it as "long non-coding RNA (TPRA_LNC009531)". The record is from RNAcentral. Lineage: Eukaryota; Viridiplantae; Streptophyta; Magnoliopsida; Fabales; Fabaceae.